RNAcentral lists this ribosomal RNA (442 nucleotides) under uncultured bacterium. RNAcentral's name for it is "partial 16S ribosomal RNA". It matches the Rfam family "Bacterial small subunit ribosomal RNA", at positions 338 to 795 of the family's 1533-position model. The record is from RNAcentral.
CCUACGGGAGGCAGCAGUAGGGAAUCUUUCACAAUGGGCGAAAGCCUGAUGGAGCAACGCCGCGUGCAGGAUGAAGGCCUUCGGGUUGUAAACUGCUUUUAUAAGCGAGAAAUAUGAUGGUAACUUAUGAAUAAGCAUCGGCUAACUACGUGCCAGCAGCCGCGGUCAUACGUAGGAUCCGAGCAUUAUCCGGAGUGACUGGGUGUAAAGAGUUGCGUAGGUGGCAUAAUAAGUAGCUAGUGAAAUCUGGUGGCUCAACCAUUCAGACUAUUAGCUAAACUGUUAAGCUCGAGACCGUUAGGGGUAACUGGAAUUUCUAGUGUAGGAGUGAAAUCCGUAGAUAUUAGAAGGAACACCAAUAGCGUAGGCAGGUUGCUGGGACGGUUCUGACACUAAGGCACGAAAGCGUAGGGAGCAAACGGGAUUAGAUACCCCUGUAGUC